AGAGUUUGAUCCUGGCUCAGAAUGAACGCUGGCGGCGUGCUUAACACAUGCAAGUCGAACGAGAAAGGGAUUGCUUGCAGUCCCGAGUAGAGUGGCGCACGGGUGAGUAACRCGUAGAUAAUCUGCCUUCAAGCCUGGGAUAACUAUUCGAAAGGGUAGCUAAUACCGGAUAAAGYCGAUCUACACAAGUAGAUUGAUGAAAGAUUGCCUCUUCUUGAAAGCAAUUGUUUGGAGAUGAGUUUGCGUACCAUUAGCUUGUUGGUGGGGUAAAGGCCUACCAAGGCAACGAUGGUUAGCUGGUCUGAGAGGAUGAUCAGCCACACUGGAACUGGAACACGGUCCAGACUCCUACGGGUAGGCAUCCYUGAGGCAUAUUUUCGC
RNAcentral lists this ribosomal RNA (381 nucleotides) under uncultured delta proteobacterium. RNAcentral describes it as "bacterial SSU rRNA". It matches the Rfam family "Bacterial small subunit ribosomal RNA", at positions 8 to 369 of the family's 1533-position model. Lineage: Bacteria; Deltaproteobacteria. The record is from RNAcentral.